UGCACAUGACAUGUUAAAAAUCAUUAUCCCCACAGAUUUGAGUCAUCUUUACACUUAAGCACGUACUUAAUCAUAGUCACCACUUACUAGUUCACAAUUAAUCAAUUAAAACAAUGUUUUUGAUGUAGUAACAUGCCUUAGAGAAUUCGCUCAAUUCCUUACAAGAUAUGCAUUCAAUUUUCACUCAGAUUUUCCAACUACACACCCUAUACUAGUUAUAUGUGAGAAGAUUGAUGUAGAUAUGAAAACGAAUGCUCACAUAUAUGUAUCACAAAGAAAGCAAUUUCUGGAGUUAAUAAGCAUGUUUAGAUAUGAUCUCAUGAAUGGAAUGCUAUUACUUAGAUGCGAGAACCAGUGACACCAUAUGCUCAUAUCAAUUUCAAACUCCACAUAUUGAAACGCAUGACACUCAAGAUGAAGUUAAGGGUUGUAACGGGGCUUGGGGUGAUGGCUAACAAAUGAAGGAUAAGGAUAACAAUCGUUCUUAAAGCAAUAGCAAGUAAAGUAAUGAAAUUGAAACUUAGAAUUCACUUAGAUUGCAGUAAUCAACUUUUAACACGAAGGGAAAGCAAUAAUUAGGGCCGAAUUCUAUGUUUUGGACCCUUUCUUCAACAAGCAGCACUUUAAAACUCUUUUUCGCAUAUUUUUCAACUCUUUUUUUUUUUUUUUUUCAACUCUUCUUUUCUUUUUUUCAACAAGCAUAAUAACUCACACUUCCCCCACACUUGUUUUCUGCCAUACAUUAAUCAAAAGAAAUUCAAUUUGAAUUAUGUUUUACUAUGCUUCAAGAACAAGGGUAUGGAUGGUCCUAAACUAGGCUAGGUAAGGAUAAUGUGGUUUAA
RNAcentral lists this long non-coding RNA (842 nucleotides) under Malus domestica (apple). Its description in RNAcentral is "long non-coding RNA (MDOM_LNC008345)". The record is from RNAcentral. Lineage: Eukaryota; Viridiplantae; Streptophyta; Magnoliopsida; Rosales; Rosaceae.